UGCUACCCAUGCUAUCCUGAACAAGCCCAAUCCCGUCUGAUCUCGGAAGCUAAGCAGGGUCGGGCCUGGUUAGUACUUGGAUGGGAAACCACCUAGGAAGACCAGGUGCUGUAGGAG
This 117-nucleotide ribosomal RNA is filed under the name Pteropus alecto (black flying fox). Lineage: Eukaryota; Metazoa; Chordata; Mammalia; Chiroptera; Pteropodidae. The record is from RNAcentral.